CUGGCGGCAGGCCUAACACAUGCAAGUCGAGCGCACUCUUCGGAGUGAGCGGCGGACGGGUUAGUAACGCGUGGGAACAUACCCUUUUCUACGGAAUAGCCUCGGGAAACUGAGAGUAAUACCGUAUACGCCCUUUUGGGGAAAGAUUUAUCGGUGAAGGAUUGGCCCGCGUUUGAUUAGAUAGUUGGUGGGGUAAUGGCCUACCAAGUCUACGAUCAAUAGCUGGUUUGAGAGGAUGAUCAGCAACACUGGGACUGAGACACGGCCCAGACUCCUACGGGAGGCAGCAGUGGGGAAUCUUAGACAAUGGGCGCAAGCCUGAUCUAGCCAUGCCGCGUGAGUGACGAAGGCCUUAGGGUCGUAAAGCUCUUUCGCCAGGGAUGAUAAUGACAGUACCUGGUAAAGAAACCCCGGCUAACUCCGUGCCAGCAGCCGCGGUAAUACGGAGGGGGUUAGCGUUGUUCGGAAUUACUGGGCGUAAAGCGUACGUAGGCGGAUUGGAAAGUAUGGGGUGAAAUCCCAGGGCUCAACCCUGGAACUGCCCUGUAAACUAUCAGUCUAGAGUUCGAGAGAGGUGAGUGGAAUUCCAAGUGUAGAGGUGAAAUUCGUAGAUAUUUGGAGGAACACCAGUGGCGAAGGCGGCUCACUGGCUCGAUACUGACGCUGAGGUACGAAAGUGUGGGGAGCAAACAGGAUUAGAUACCCUGGUAGUCCGCACCGUAAACGAUGAAUGCCAGACGUCGGGGGGCUUGCCCUUCGGUGUCACACCUAACGGAU
RNAcentral lists this ribosomal RNA (777 nucleotides) under uncultured marine bacterium. RNAcentral describes it as "bacterial SSU rRNA". It matches the Rfam family "Bacterial small subunit ribosomal RNA", at positions 36 to 860 of the family's 1533-position model. The record is from RNAcentral.